GCGGAGGGAUCAUUACCGAGUCUAACAACUCAUCAACCCUGUGAACAUACCUAAACGUUGCUUCGGCGGGAACAGACGGCCCCGUAACACGGGCCGCCCCCGCCAGAGGACCCCCUAACUCUGUAUCUGUAAUGUUUUUUCUGAGUAAACAAGCAAAUAAAUUAAAACUUUCAACAACGGAUCUCUUGGCUCUGGCAUCGAUGAAGAACGCAGCGAAAUGCGAUAAGUAAUGUGAAUUGCAGAAUUCAGUGAAUCAUCGAAUCUUUGAACGCACAUUGCGCCCGCCAGUAUUCUGGCGGGCAUGCCUGUUCGAGCGUCAUUACAACCCUCAGGCCCCCGGGCCUGGCGUUGGGGAUCGGCGGAGCCCUCUGUGGCACACGCCGUCCCCCAAAUACAGUGGCGGUCCCGCCGCAGCUUCCAUUGCGUAGUAGCUAACACCUCGCAACUGGAGAGCGGCGCGGCCACGCCGUAAAACACCCAACUUCUGAAUGUUGACCUCGAAUCAGGUAGGAAUACCCGCUGAACUUAAGCAUAU
This 535-nucleotide ribosomal RNA is filed under the name fungal endophyte sp. P1701F. RNAcentral's name for it is "eukaryotic LSU rRNA". The stretch from base 166 to 319 matches the Rfam family "5.8S ribosomal RNA". Lineage: Eukaryota; Fungi. The record is from RNAcentral.